RNAcentral lists this ribosomal RNA (465 nucleotides) under uncultured bacterium. RNAcentral describes it as "partial 16S ribosomal RNA". It matches the Rfam family "Bacterial small subunit ribosomal RNA", at positions 338 to 795 of the family's 1533-position model. The record is from RNAcentral.
CCUACGGGAGGCAGCAGUAGGGAAUGUUCGUCAAUGGGCGCAAGCCUGAACGAGCGAUGCCGCGUGAGUGAAGAAGGCCUUCGGGUCGUAAAGCUCUGUUGCGGGGGAAAAAAGGCAGCAUCAGGAAAUGGGUGCUGACUGAUGGUGCCCCGCCAGAAAGUCACGGCUAACUACGUGCCAGCAGCCGCGGUAAUACGUAGGUGGCGAGCGUUAUCCGGAAUGAUUGGGCGUAAAGGGUGCGCAGGCGGUCCUGCAAGUCUGGAGUGAAACGCAUGAGCUCAACUCAUGCAUGGCUUUGGAAACUGGAGGACUGGAGAGCAGGAGAGGGCGGUGGAACUCCAUGUGUAGCGGUGAAAUGCGUAGAUAUAUGGAAGAACACCAGUGGCGAAGGCGGCCGCCUGGCCUGUUGCUGACGCUGAGGCACGAAAGCGUGGGGAGCAAAUAGGAUUAGAUACCCCUGUAGUC